This 81-nucleotide microRNA precursor is filed under the name Bombyx mori (domestic silkworm). RNAcentral's name for it is "mir-2807 microRNA precursor family". It matches the Rfam family "mir-2807 microRNA precursor family". Lineage: Eukaryota; Metazoa; Arthropoda; Insecta; Lepidoptera; Bombycidae. The record is from Rfam by way of RNAcentral.
UUAACUCAAAUUUUUAUGGAGUUGGAACGUUCGCCUACGUUUGCCGCUAGGGGCGCUGUUCCAACUGCAUACUUUGAGUUA